GUCUCUGGGGUACCCGGGGAUCAUUCCGCUGACAAUCAUGGAUGAGAAUGCAAAGAAAAAAAAACAGAGGAAGCAAAGAGCAAUUUUUUUUGGGGACAGUGAACAUUCAACGUAACUGAAGUUCUAACCACUUGCUCAUGAACUACCUUACCAAUUCAUCGCUAAGAGCAUCUCCAACAGUCCGUAUGUUCAAUCGUUGGUAUAAGUGUCCACAUCAUCAACCAACAGCACAUCAUACAAGCUCUU
Molecule: long non-coding RNA, 246 nt
Filed under: Hordeum vulgare
Lineage: Eukaryota; Viridiplantae; Streptophyta; Magnoliopsida; Poales; Poaceae
Description: long non-coding RNA (HVUL_LNC016163)
Source: RNAcentral